Molecule: non-coding RNA, 129 nt
Organism: Caenorhabditis elegans
Lineage: Eukaryota; Metazoa; Nematoda; Chromadorea; Rhabditida; Rhabditidae
Source: Ensembl
UUUUGGGACGCAGACACGUGGAGCCCCCAUGUUAACUUCUUGUCGUCAAUCACCCCUCUCUCCAGGAUCUCUAUUUUCAAGGCAACGAAACGAAAUGCUUCGAAGGCGACGACUUGGGAAGUCGAAUUU